RNAcentral lists this ribosomal RNA (253 nucleotides) under uncultured bacterium. RNAcentral's name for it is "partial 16S ribosomal RNA". It matches the Rfam family "Bacterial small subunit ribosomal RNA", at positions 524 to 776 of the family's 1533-position model. The record is from RNAcentral.
UACGUAGGGGGCUAGCGUUGUCCGGAAUCAUUGGGCGUAAAGAGCGUGUAGGCGGUCCGGUAAGUCCGCUGUGAAAGUCGGGGGCUCAACCCUCGAAUGCCGGUGGAUACUGUCGGGCUAGAGUGCGGAAGAGGCGAGUGGAAUUCCUGGUGUAGCGGUGAAAUGCGCAGAUAUCAGGAGGAACACCAAUCGCGAAGGCAGCUCGCUGGGACGUAACUGACGCUGAGACGCGAAAGCGUGGGGAGCAAACAGG